Triticum dicoccoides is the source of this 562-nucleotide long non-coding RNA. RefSeq lists it as uncharacterized. Lineage: Eukaryota; Viridiplantae; Streptophyta; Magnoliopsida; Poales; Poaceae. The record is from RefSeq and is a predicted model, not a curated record. The transcript has 4 exons.
UUAUUAUUCGCCAUUUCAAUCUUGGGUCUCCAUGCCCAAGCACAAUCUGUUACCUUGAUAUAAUCAAUUUAUGUUUACUCCUAAUCUAGAUCAAGGAUUAUGCGCUUGAUGCUGGAGUGUCACUGGACAAUUGCUUGGCCUGUUCGAAGAUUCGUUACCAUCAUGAGCAUGAUCACACCCAUGACCCUGGUGUUUCCUCUGUAAGCAUUUGUUUGCGAAGGGGAGAUGAAUCUCUAAAAGUAAAAGUGCUGACGUAUGCCGGACGAAGGGACUACUCUCUAUCAGUGGAAUGCCUCAACGCUUUGCUUUUCAGAUCAAGGAUUAUGCGCUUGAUGCUGGAGUGUCACUGGACAAUUGCUUGGCCUGUUCGAAGAUUCGUUGUACGUACAAGCUUAUGCAAACAUAGGAAAAACUUCAUAGUUACUUGGAACCAAUAUCCUAAAUUAAGAAAUGUACUUUGCCAAUCUGCUUGGAACCUUGGAUGCUGUUCGGAAAGGAGAGAUGGGACAGUUUUGAUGUUUCACUUAAAAGCAGUAUACCUAAUAUGCCAUAUCUUAGUCAU